GAUUGGUGCUUGCAUCAUGAUUUACAUUUGAGUGAGUGGCGAACUGGUGAGUAACACGUGGGAAACCUGCCCAGAAGCGGGGGAUAACACCUGGAAACAGAUGCUAAUACCGCAUAACAACUUGGACCGCAUGGUCCGAGUUUGAAAGAUGGCUUCGGCUAUCACUUUUGGAUGGUCCCGCGGCGUAUUAGCUAGAUGGUGGGGUAACGGCUCACCAUGGCAAUGAUACGUAGCCGACCUGAGAGGGUAAUCGGCCACAUUGGGACUGAGACACGGCCCAAACUCCUACGGGAGGCAGCAGUAGGGAAUCUUCCACAAUGGACGAAAGUCUGAUGGAGCAACGCCGCGUGAGUGAAGAAGGGUUUCGGCUCGUAAAACUCUGUUGUUAAAGAAGAACAUAUCUGAGAGUAACUGUUCAGGUAUUGACGGUAUUUAACCAGAAAGCCACGGCUAACUACGUGCCAGCAGCCGCGGUAAUACGUAGGUGGCAAGCGUUGUCCGGAUUUAUUGGGCGUAAAGCGAGCGCAGGCGGUUUUUUAAGUCUGAUGUGAAAGCCUUCGGCUCAACCGAAGAAGUGCAUCGGAAACUGGGAAACUUGAGUGCAGAAGAGGACAGUGGAACUCCAUGUGUAGCGGUGAAAUGCGUAGAUAUAUGGAAGAACACCAGUGGCGAAGGCGGCUGUCUGGUCUGUAACUGACGCUGAGGCUCGAAAGUAUGGGUAGCAAACAGGAUUAGAUACCCUGGUAGUCCAUACCGUAAACGAUGAAUGCUAAGUGUUGGAGGGUUUCCGCCCUUCAGUGCUGCAGCUAACGCAUUAAGCAUUCCGCCUGGGGAGUACGGCCGCAAGGCUGAAACUCAAAGGAAUUGACGGGGGCCCGCACAAGCGGUGGAGCAUGUGGUUUAAUUCGAAGCUACGCGAAGAACCUUACCAGGUCUUGACAUACUAUGCAAAUCUAAGAGAUUAGACGUUCCCUUCGGGGACAUGGAUACAGGUGGUGCAUGGUUGUCGUCAGCUCGUGUCGUGAGAUGUUGGGUUAAGUCCCGCAACGAGCGCAACCCUUAUUAUCAGUUGCCAGCAUUAAGUUGGGCACUCUGGUGAGACUGCCGGUGACAAACCGGAGGAAGGUGGGGAUGACGUCAAAUCAUCAUGCCCCUUAUGACCUGGGCUACACACGUGCUACAAUGGAUGGUACAACGAGUUGCGAACUCGCGAGAGUAAGCUAAUCUCUUAAAGCCAUUCUCAGUUCGGAUUGUAGGCUGCAACUCGCCUACAUGAAGUCGGAAUCGCUAGUAAUCGCGGAUCAGCAUGCCGCGGUGAAUACGUUCCCGGGCCUUGUACACACCGCCCGUCACACCAUGAGAGUUUGUAACACCCAAAGUCGGUGGGGUAACCUUUUAGGAACCAGCC
This 1408-nucleotide ribosomal RNA is filed under the name Lactiplantibacillus pentosus. RNAcentral's name for it is "bacterial SSU rRNA". It matches the Rfam family "Bacterial small subunit ribosomal RNA". Lineage: Bacteria; Bacillati; Bacillota; Bacilli; Lactobacillales; Lactobacillaceae. The record is from RNAcentral.